This 69-nucleotide transfer RNA is filed under the name Rhinolophus affinis (intermediate horseshoe bat). RNAcentral's name for it is "tRNA-Ala". It matches the Rfam family "tRNA". From Rfam's summary of the family: Transfer RNA (tRNA) molecules are approximately 80 nucleotides in length. Their secondary structure includes four short double-helical elements and three loops (D, anti-codon, and T loops). RNAcentral also lists the same sequence under 4 other names. The record is from RNAcentral. Lineage: Eukaryota; Metazoa; Chordata; Mammalia; Chiroptera; Rhinolophidae.
AAGGGCUUAGCUUAAUUAAAGUGAUUGAUUUGCAUUCAGUUGAUGUAAGAUAGAGUCUUGCAGUCCUUA